Tripterygium wilfordii is the source of this 795-nucleotide long non-coding RNA. RefSeq lists it as uncharacterized. The transcript has 4 exons. Lineage: Eukaryota; Viridiplantae; Streptophyta; Magnoliopsida; Celastrales; Celastraceae. The record is from RefSeq and is a predicted model, not a curated record.
UUUCAUUCCAACCACCAAAAACAAAAACCCUUCAUGCGGUUCGCGGUGAAAACUGAGGCCAAAUACAAACUUAAAAUUUCCUUGCCCGUUUGCCGCCCAUUCGCUUUAGAUCAUCCAAAAAAAAUUUCGAAUGCCUCUGUUGAGUGGAUGUGUUUCCUUAAUCAAGUCUGAUCUGUUGAUUGAUCCGCCUUUUGCCGGUUUUCUCACCAUCCAAACAAAGUCACGUGCGAAUCUGCGAAUCUCAGUAUCUCGCUGAUGUUCAUCUUGAGGAAUUUUAAUGGAUAUCAUCAAUCGAAGGUUUCUCAUCAUGCAAACGAAGUCACAAACGCCUCUUCAGAUUUCACCGAUACUGAAACCUUGAGAAAUUUGAAUGGAUCUACUUAAUCGAAGGUCACAAGCGUCUUUGCAGAUUUUGCUGAUGCUUUAAUCUUAUAGGAAUUUGAAUGGAUAUCAGUAAUCGGAGACUGUUCCUACUAAUACAAAGGACUAGAUGACCGAAAGUUGAGGAGACUGAAGAAAAAGGAAGGAGAUGAAAAAAAGAACAUACUCAGAGCACAGAAAGACAGAAAACUCAGUGAGAAGCAACGUAAAAGAAAGGGUAGAGAAUCCAAGGAGAAUACAUCCAGAAUGAACAGACAUUCCCUCCUCAAAAUGAGGUGAGCUUCUCUUCCUGUUCUCAUACAAAACAAUAGGGAAGUAGUAUUUUUCUAAUACCAUGUACUGUUACUCCGUUAGAAACAGAAUAAACUACAACUAACAAAUCCCCAAAGUAGACUCAGACAAGUACCCAUGUAG